GAUUGAACGCUGGCGGUAUGCUUAACACAUGCAAGUCGAACGGAAACGAUACUAGCUUGCUAGUAGGCGUCGAGUGGCGGACGGGUGAGUAACGCGUAGGAAUCUGCCUGAUAGUGGGGGAUAGCCCGAAGAAAUUCGGAUUAAUACCGCAUAAUCUAUUUGUAGUAAAGUGGGGGACUUUCGAGCCUCACGCUAUCAGAUGAGCCUGCGUAAGAUUAGCUUGUUGGUAGGGUAAAAGCCUACCAAGGCAACGAUCUUUAGCUGGUCUGAGAGGAUGAUCAGCCACAUCGGGACUGAGACACGGCCCGAACUCCUACGGGAGGCAGCAGUGGGGAAUAUUGGACAAUGGGGGCAACCCUGAUCCAGCAAUACCGCGUGUGUGAAGAAGGCCUGAGGGUUGUAAAGCACUUUCAAUUGUGAAGAAAAGUUAACGGUUAAUAACCGUUAGCCUUGACGUUAACUUUAGAAGAAGCACCGGCUAACUCCGUGCCAGCAGCCGCGGUAAUACGGAGGGUGCAAGCGUUAAUCGGAAUUACUGGGCGUAAAGCGUGCGUAGGCGGUUUAUUAAGUCAGAUGUGAAAGCCCCGGGCUUAACCUGGGAACUGCAUUUGAAACUGGUCAACUAGAGUAUGGUAGAGGAAAGUGGAAUUUCUGGUGUAGCGGUGAAAUGCGUAGAUAUCAGAAGGAACAUCAAUGGCGAAGGCAGCUUUCUGGACCAAUACUGACGCUGAGGUACGAAAGCGUGGGUAGCAAACAGGAUUAGAUACCCUGGUAGUCCACGCCGUAAACGAUGAUAACUAGCCGUUGGGGGGAUUUACCCUUUAGUGGCGAAGCUAACGCGUUAAGUUAUCCGCCUGGGGAGUACGGCCGCAAGGUUAAAACUCAAAGGAAUUGACGGGGACCCGCACAAGCGGUGGAGCAUGUGGUUUAAUUCGAUGCAACGCGAAGAACCUUACCUGGUCUUGACAUCCUGCGAACUUUCUAGAAAUAGAUUGGUGCCUUCGGGAACGCAGUGACAGGUGCUGCAUGGCUGUCGUCAGCUCGUGUCGUGAGAUGUUGGGUUAAGUCCCGUAACGAGCGCAACCCCUAUCCUUAUUUGCCAGCACGUCAUGGUGGGAACUAUAAGGAGACUGCCGGUGAUAAACCGGAGGAAGGCGGGGACGACGUCAAGUCAUCAUGGCCCUUACGACCAGGGCUACACACGUGCUACAAUGGGAAGGACAAAGAGCCGCGAAGCCGCGAGGUGUAGCUAAUCUCAGAAAUCUUUUCGUAGUCCGGAUUGGAGUCUGCAACUCGACUCCAUGAAGUCGGAAUCGCUAGUAAUCGUAGAUCAGAAUGCUACGGUGAAUACGUUCCCGGGUCUUGUACUCACCGCCCGUCA
Molecule: ribosomal RNA, 1381 nt
Filed under: uncultured bacterium
Lineage: Bacteria
Description: bacterial SSU rRNA
Rfam family: Bacterial small subunit ribosomal RNA
Source: RNAcentral